Molecule: ribosomal RNA, 631 nt
Filed under: Colletotrichum gloeosporioides
Lineage: Eukaryota; Fungi; Ascomycota; Sordariomycetes; Glomerellales; Glomerellaceae
Description: SSU rRNA
Rfam family: Bacterial small subunit ribosomal RNA (bases 1-530)
Source: RNAcentral
UCCAUCAUGCCUAACGGCUGACCAGCACUUGCAGGAAUGAGAGUUAAUAUAAUAAGUUAUUAACUUGCUUGACUAGGUCUUAUAAAGUUCUGGAUAAAGCUUAUUAUGAAAACUUUAUAUCCAUAGGUCUCGACCAAAUCUUGUGCCAGCAGUCGCGGUAAGACAAGGGAGACGAGUGUUAUUCAUCUUUAACAGGUAUAUAGGGUACCUAGACGGUGUGCAAUGGCUUAAAUAAGUACCUGGUACACUUGAGUUUGAUAUGUGAGAGGAAUAUGUCGGAAUUGUUGGAGGAAAGAUGAAAUUUGUUAAUACCAAUAGGACUGAUAACGGCGAAGGCAAACCUCUAUGUACAUGUACUUGCUAUUUCUGUUUUUAUUAUAGCAAAAUAGCAAUGUACUAUAACUGACGUUGAGGGACGAAGGCUCACACAGUGAAGAGGAUUGAAUACCCCCGUAACCUGGGCAGACAAUGAUGAGUGCCAUACGUUGGCUGUAUUGCGGAGCUAUAUAUGAAAGGAGAGGCACUCCACCUCACCAAAAUGUUAGCGGCGCAAGAACUGAAAUCAUUAUCACCGUUUCUGAUACCAAAAACAGGAAGGAAGAUAUUGUAUUCAAUGGCGCCGCAGGCGAGA